This is a long non-coding RNA of Nanorana parkeri, 181 nucleotides long. RefSeq lists it as uncharacterized. The transcript has 3 exons. Lineage: Eukaryota; Metazoa; Chordata; Amphibia; Anura; Dicroglossidae. The record is from RefSeq and is a predicted model, not a curated record.
UGAUGACCAUAGUGAUAGUGAUAUAGACCUAUGCGGCAUGGAAUGUAAUACUGACCAAGAUGGUUUUCCCAGCAACAGGGAACUUUUUGAGUACUUGGAGAGUUUUAAAGUUUUUGAACUUGGCGAUGUUCACUUUCUCUUGAAAGUUUCUGAGAAGCUGAGAAAUGCCUUGGUUCACCAC